This 547-nucleotide ribosomal RNA is filed under the name uncultured archaeon. RNAcentral's name for it is "bacterial SSU rRNA". It matches the Rfam family "Bacterial small subunit ribosomal RNA", at positions 509 to 1050 of the family's 1533-position model. The record is from RNAcentral.
CAGCCGCCGCGGUAAUACGUAGGUGGCGAGCGUUGUCCGGAAUUACUGGGCGUAAAGGGCGCGCAGGCGGGUUUUUAAGUCAGAUGUGUAAUCUACAGGCUCAACCUGUAGUUUGGAUCUGAUACUGGAAAUCUUGAGUGCAGGAGAGGACAGUGGAAUUCCUAGUGUAGCGGUGAAAUGCGUAGAUAUUAGGAGGAACACCAGUGGCGAAGGCGGCUGUCUGGCCUGCAACUGACGCUGAGGCGCGAAAGCGUGGGUAGCGAACAGGAUUAGAUACCCUGGUAGUCCACGCCGUAAACGAUGGGUACUAGGUGUAGGAGGUAUCGACCCCUUCUGUGCCGGAGUUAACACAAUAAGUACCCCGCCUGGGGACUACGGCCGCAAGGCUAAAACUCAAAGGAAUUGACGGGGGCCCGCACAAGCGGUGGAGCAUGUGGUUUAAUUCGACGCAACGCGAAGAACCUUACCAGGGCUUGACAUCCUCUGACGCCCAUAGAGAUAUGGGGUUUGGUCUUCGGACUGACAGAGAGACAGGAGGUGCAUGGCC